RNAcentral lists this ribosomal RNA (968 nucleotides) under uncultured bacterium. RNAcentral's name for it is "bacterial SSU rRNA". It matches the Rfam family "Bacterial small subunit ribosomal RNA", at positions 8 to 985 of the family's 1533-position model. The record is from RNAcentral.
AGAGUUUGAUCCUGGCUCAGGACGAACGCUGGCGGCGUGCAUAACACAUGCAAGUCAAGGGGGCCAGCAAUGGCAACCGGCGAACGGGUGCGUAACACGUGAGCAAUCUGCCUCUAUGUGGGGCAUAGCCGGCCUAACGGCCGGGUAAUUCCGCAUACGAUCUUUUGGGGACAUCUCCAAUUGAUGAAACGCUUCGGCGGCAUAGAGAGGAGCUCGCGGCCUAUCAGCUAGUUGGUGAGGGUAACGGCCCACCAAGGCGACGACGGGUAGCUGGUCUGAGAGGAUGGCCAGCCACAUUGGGACUGAGAUACGGCCCAGACUCCUACGGGAGGCAGCAGUGGGGAAUCUUGCGCAAUGGUCUAACGACUGACGCAGCGACGCCGCGUGAGGGAUGAAGCUUUUCGGAGUGUAAACCUCUGUUGCUCGGGACGAAUAGCGGAUUAUUCCGACUUGACGGUACCGGGUGAGGAAGCACCGGCUAACUCCGUGCCAGCAGCCGCGGUAAUACGGGGGGUGCGAGCGUUGUCCGGAAUCACUGGGCGUAAAGGGCGCGUAGGUGGUCUUGUAAGUCUGUGGUGAAAGCCCGGGGCUCAACCCCGGGUCUGCCGUGGAUACUGUGAGACUUGAGUGCUGUAGAGGCAGGUAGAAUAUCGGGUGUAGCGGUGGAAUGCGUAGAGAUCCGAUAGAAGACCGGUGGCGAAGGCGGCCUGCUGGGCAGUAACUGACACUGAGGCGCGACAGCGUGGGGAGCAAACAGGAUUAGAUACCCUGGUAGUCCACGCCGUAAACGAUGGGUACUAUGUGCUUGGGGGAGCGACCCCCUGAGUGCCGGCGCUAACGCAGGAAGUACCCCGCCUGGGGAGUACGGCCGCAAGGCUGAAACUCAAAGGAAUUGACGGGGGCCCGCACAAGCGGUGGAGCAUGUGGUUUAAUUCGACGCAACGCGAAGAACCUUACCCAGGCUUGAC